Molecule: unclassified non-coding RNA, 391 nt
Filed under: soil metagenome
Description: partial contains 5.8S ribosomal RNA, internal transcribed spacer 2, and large subunit ribosomal RNA
Rfam family: 5.8S ribosomal RNA (bases 1-122)
Source: RNAcentral
GAUGAAGAACGUAGCGAAAUGCGAUACUUGGUGUGAAUUGCAGAAUCCCGUGAACCAUCGAGUCUUUGAACGCAAGUUGCGCCCGAAGCCACUAGGCCGAGGGCACGCCUGCCUGGGCGUCACACGCCGUUGCCCCCCCAUCUUCUCCUUCGGGAUUGCGGGGGGGCGGAUGAUGGCCUCCCGUGCGCCUAGCCGCGCGGUUGGCAUAAAUACCAAGUCCUCGGCGACGCACGCCACGACAAUCGGUGGUUGCGAAACCUCGGUUGCCCGUCGUGUGCGUUCGUCGCGCAUCGAGGGCUCGAAAAAAUGCUCGGCUCCGGCUGGGCUUUCAACGCGACCCCAGGUCAGGCGGGGUUACCCGCUGAAUUUAAGCAUAUCAAUACGCGGAGGA